Molecule: long non-coding RNA, 534 nt
Filed under: Physcomitrium patens
Lineage: Eukaryota; Viridiplantae; Streptophyta; Bryopsida; Funariales; Funariaceae
Description: long non-coding RNA (PPAT_LNC011721)
Source: RNAcentral
CCAUAAACAACUUCAUAAAUCAAACAUUAAUUCAUUAAAUCGAUUCUCUUUACUAGAAUCAAUACUAACACAAAAGAAACAAGAAAACUAAGAAGAAGAGAUAGCACUAAGCUUAUCCCUGGCUCAGUACUAUCGUAGUCUGGUCCUCUGCUCACAACUCUCACAGUCUGGCAUUUUCUUCCCCUCUCCCAUCCUCCUUAUAUUAUCUUGAGAUACCAACUCCUAUACUAUAGAUGAUAACUACUUUUCCUAACUAUUCAUCCAUUCUACCUACUGAACCACCUUUUCAACAAUUAUCUAUCUCUGUUUACACUAUACACUAGAUAUCUACAUUCUGAAAAUAACUACUUAUUCUAUACUUAUUGAAGAAAAGAAGUCUAUAAGCUACAAAUACUUAGCAUCAGCAAGGAUUGUUGUCCAGAGAAGUGAAGAGAAAGAUUAUUCUUCCUUCCAACACUUUUUACUUAUAGGUGGUAGUUUGCUCACCAACGAGGCAACUUUCAUCCUUUGGAUAUUAUAUCUAUUUCUACCUCA